RNAcentral lists this long non-coding RNA (832 nucleotides) under Ricinus communis (castor bean). Its description in RNAcentral is "long non-coding RNA (RCOM_LNC002419)". Lineage: Eukaryota; Viridiplantae; Streptophyta; Magnoliopsida; Malpighiales; Euphorbiaceae. The record is from RNAcentral.
AAUGGAGGAAGCUUAGGAAGAGGAGGGCAUGGCUUCUUGUGAAAUGGAGGGAUUUUUGGGAUUGGAGGAAGAGGCUUGUAAAAGGUUGGUGGUUUGGGUUUAUAGGUCGGAACCGGAGGUGGUUUAUAAACUGGCGGUUUUGGUGUCGGCGUGUAGAUAGGAACAGGAGGUGGUUUAUAAACUGGCGGUUUUGGUGUUGGCGUGUAGAUAGGAACAGGAGGCGGCUUGUAGACUGGUGGCUUAGGUUUUGGCUUGUAAACUGGUGGUUUAGGUGGAAAAGGUUUCUUGACAGGUGGACAUGGUUUUUUCGUUGGUACUGGUGGCGGAAGAGGCUUUAUUGGUGCUGGUGGCGGCUUGUAGACUGGUACUGGCGGAGGGUAAACUUUUGGUGGUGGCUUAUAGACUGGUACUGGUGGAGGGAGUACCUUUGGUGGUGGCUUGUAGACUGGAACUGGUGGAGGGAGUACCUUUGGUGGGGGCUUGUAGACGGGAACUGGAGGAGGGAAUUCCUUUGGUGGUGGCUUGUACACUGGAACUGGUGGAGGGAAUUCCUUUGGUGGUGACUUGUAGACUGGAACUGGUGGUGGAAGUGGUUUAGGAGGGAAAACCUUAGGUGGGAAUGGAGGAUAAACCUUAGGUGGGAAUGGAGGAUAAACCUUUGGAGGAAAUGGAGGGUAAACCUUUGGAGGAAAGGGAGGAAAAACCUUAGGAGGGAAUGGAGGGAAGACCUUAGGAGGGAAUAGGUAUGGAUGAUGGCCAAAGUUUUUCAGUGGGGGAAAUUUCCACUUAUGCAAAGGUGGGAAUUUGGGUAGUGGUGGGUACUUGAAAUGAG